GCCAAAAACUAGCCUGCACAACACACCAUAAAUCACUUCACACAAACUAAACCAUUUACCAAAUCCAGUAUAUGAGAUAGAACUUUAAACACAGCGCAAUAGCCCAAAUCGUACCACAAGGGAACCAUGAAAGACUAAUUAAUAACCACAAGCACAGCACAGCAGGGCUAAAGCCCCGUACCUCCUGCAUCAUGGUUUAGCCAGCAGCUCGCCGACAAAGUGCCCUGUGUCCGCCACCCCGA
This 242-nucleotide ribosomal RNA is filed under the name Gekko hokouensis. Its description in RNAcentral is "partial 16S ribosomal RNA". Lineage: Eukaryota; Metazoa; Chordata; Lepidosauria; Squamata; Gekkonidae. The record is from RNAcentral. RNAcentral also lists the same sequence under 1 other name.